Molecule: ribosomal RNA, 187 nt
Filed under: uncultured bacterium
Lineage: Bacteria
Description: partial 16S ribosomal RNA
Rfam family: Bacterial small subunit ribosomal RNA
Source: RNAcentral
AGAGCUCUCCUACGGAGGGCAGCAGUAGGGAAUUUUCGUCAAUGGGCGCAAGCCUGAACGAGCAAUGCCGCGUGAACGAGGAAGGUCUUCGGAUCGUAAAGUUCUGUUGAAGGGGAAAAAGAGCGGAGAGAGGAAAUGGUCUCCGAUUGAUAUUACCCUUCGAGGAAGUCACGGCUAACUACGUGCC